This 235-nucleotide ribosomal RNA is filed under the name uncultured bacterium. Its description in RNAcentral is "partial 16S ribosomal RNA". It matches the Rfam family "Bacterial small subunit ribosomal RNA", at positions 101 to 339 of the family's 1533-position model. The record is from RNAcentral.
AACGGAUGAGUAAUACAUCGGAACGUACCGUUUAGUGGGGGACAACUUUCAGAAAUGGAAGCUAAUACCGCAUACGAACUACGGUUGAAAGCAGGGGACCUUCGGGCCUUGUGCUAAACGAGCGGCCGAUGGAAGAUUAGCUAGUUGGUGGGGUAAAGGCUCACCAAGGCGACGAUCUUUAGCGGGUCUGAGAGGACGAUCCGCCACACUGGAACUGAGACACGGUCCAGACUCC